This 61-nucleotide transfer RNA is filed under the name Brachystomella parvula. RNAcentral describes it as "tRNA-Ala". Lineage: Eukaryota; Metazoa; Arthropoda; Collembola; Poduromorpha; Brachystomellidae. The record is from RNAcentral.
AGGAGUAUAGUUAAAUAUAAUAUUUGGUUUGCACCUAAAAGGUACUCAAGAGUUACUCUUA